AUAAGCCUGGGAAACUGGGUCUAAUACCGGAUAGGAGCGUCUACCGCAUGGUGGGUGUUGGAAAGAUUUAUCGGUUUUGGAUGGACUCGCGGCCUAUCAGCUUGUUGGUGAGGUAAUGGCUCACCAAGGCGACGACGGGUAGCCGGCCUGAGAGGGUGACCGGCCACACUGGGACUGAGACACGGCCCAGACUCCUACGGGAGGCAGCAGUGGGGAAUAUUGCACAAUGGGCGCAAGCCUGAUGCAGCGACGCCGCGUGAGGGAUGACGGCCUUCGGGUUGUAAACCUCUUUCAGUAGGGAAGAAGCGAAAGUGACGGUACCUGCAGAAGAAGCACCGGCUAACUACGUGCCAGCAGCCGCGGUAAUACGUAGGGUGCGAGC
Molecule: ribosomal RNA, 382 nt
Filed under: Micrococcaceae bacterium W224
Lineage: Bacteria; Bacillati; Actinomycetota; Actinomycetes; Micrococcales; Micrococcaceae
Description: bacterial SSU rRNA
Rfam family: Bacterial small subunit ribosomal RNA
Source: RNAcentral